RNAcentral lists this long non-coding RNA (951 nucleotides) under Betta splendens (Siamese fighting fish). RNAcentral describes it as "lncRNA (ENSBSLG00000009963.1)". Lineage: Eukaryota; Metazoa; Chordata; Actinopteri; Anabantiformes; Osphronemidae. The record is from RNAcentral.
UCACAUUUUUGAGAGUUUAUCCAAUCCGGUUUGCUUCGCAUCGUUUCAAAUUUGGCGGACUGGAUACGUCUGCAUUCACUUGACCAAUCACAGAACCAGACAAAAGAAGAAGUCACUCAGGUUGAAGAAGCGCCCUGAUCCUCAAGACGUUAUCCACCUGCUGCUUCCCCAAACAUAAGCUGACGCAUCCCAGCUACCGAAACGCAAGGAGGUUGUUUCUCAAACUGACGCCACUGCGGUCUGUGGACAAACAGCUACCUUGUAGAAGAGUUGUUGCUCACCUCAGAAGCAAAGAUUAUGUGGAAAAUGUGAUGGAGACCAUCUUCAAUAAAGUCCUGCUGGACUCAGGUUGUUCUAUGGAGGUCCUUGUAAACAUCCCUGUCCCACCGGCCCUCUGAGCAGAAUUUGAGCAACCUGACAGAAAGGAGAGUGGUGUCAAGGAAAACAGCUGCAUCCUCCAUCUGUACAGCAGCUGCACUGCUUCCGAACACGUGAAGACAAAAAAGAUCCUCACAUCUCCCCAGCCAACUGCCCAUGACUGUACCUGUUCCACUCCAGAAACUAUGCUUUCAACAUAACUAUGAAUCCUACCCGUUCAUUUUGUGGUCUGCAAAUUGAACUGUGACGGUAACUUAUCCAGCAUUAUAGUGCUGGUGCAUUGGUUAGGUUCUCACAGGUGGUCUAAGUCCAACAUAGGUGCCUUGUCCCUCAGAAAAUCCAGCUUCCCUGAUCCAGACCAGGGAAGGUGGGAUGACUUGGACUCUUCGCCCUAGAAGUCCACAGCACCAGCUAACAAGACUUCUAGGCUAGAUACCUGCAACAACUUGAGAUACACACAUAGUAUAGAAAAAACAAUAACUACAUUUCUAUUAGUUAUAUAUUAGCACUUGAUAUAUCAUAAACCUUACUAAAAACAAUAAAAAAAUAUUAGGUCAAUAUAUAUUUAGAAAC